Molecule: ribosomal RNA, 506 nt
Filed under: uncultured bacterium
Lineage: Bacteria
Description: partial 16S ribosomal RNA
Rfam family: Bacterial small subunit ribosomal RNA
Source: RNAcentral
GAUGAACGCUAGCUACAGGCUUAACACAUGCAAGUCGAGGGGUAACGAGAGGAAAGCUUGCUUUCCUUGUCGACGACCGGCGCACGGGUGAGUAACGCGUAUCCAACCUGCCCCCAACUAGGGAAUAACCUUGCGAAACUAAGACUAAUAACCUAUAAUUUCCUCAGAUGUCAUCUGACGAGGAAUAAAGAUUUAUCGGUUGUGGAUGGGGAUGCGUCUGAUUAGCUUGUUGGCGGGGUAACGGCCCACCAAGGCAACGAUCAGUAGGGGUUCUGAGAGGAAGGUCCCCCACAUUGGAACUGAGACACGGUCCAAACUCCUACGGGAGGCAGCAGUGAGGAAUAUUGGUCAAUGGGCGGAAGCCCGAACCAGCCAAGUAGCGUGCAGGAUGACGGCCCUAUGGGUUGUAAACUGCUUUUAUACAGGAAUAAAGUUAGCCACGUGUGGUUAUUUGUAGGUACUGUAUGAAUAAGGACCGGCUAAUUCCGUGCCAGCCGCCGCAGUAA